Panthera uncia (snow leopard) is the source of this 105-nucleotide small nuclear RNA. Lineage: Eukaryota; Metazoa; Chordata; Mammalia; Carnivora; Felidae. The record is from RefSeq and is a predicted model, not a curated record.
GUGCUCCCUUCGGCAGCACAUCUACUUAAAUUGGAAGGAUACAGAAAGUUAGGAUGGCCCCUGCGCAAGGAUGACAUACAAAUUCAUGAAGCUUCCCAUAUUGGA